This 497-nucleotide ribosomal RNA is filed under the name uncultured bacterium. Its description in RNAcentral is "partial 16S ribosomal RNA". It matches the Rfam family "Bacterial small subunit ribosomal RNA", at positions 28 to 507 of the family's 1533-position model. The record is from RNAcentral.
GAUGAACGCUGGCGGCGUGCCUAAUACAUGCAAGUCGAGCGAACGGACGAGAAGCUUGCUUCUCUGAUGUUAGCGGCGGACGGGUGAGUAACACGUGGAUAACCUACCUAUAAGACUGGGAUAACUUCGGGAAACCGGAGCUAAUGCCGGAUAAUAUUUUGAACCGCAUGGUUCAAAAGUGAAAGACGGUCUUGCUGUCACUUAUAGAUUGAUCCGCGCUGCAUUAGCUAUUUGGUAAGGUAACGGCUUACCAAGGCAACGAUGCAUAGCCGACCUGAGAGGGUGAUCGGCCACACUGGAACUGAGACACGGUCCAGACUCCUACGGGAGGCAGCAGUAGGGAAUCUUCCGCAAUGGGCGAAAGCCUGACGGAGCAACGCCGCGUGAGUGAUGAAGGUCUUCGGAUCGUAAAACUCUGUUAUUAGGGAAGAACAUAUGUGUAAGUAACUGUGCACAUCUUGACGGUACCUAAUCAGAAAGCCACGGCUAACUACGUG